RNAcentral lists this ribosomal RNA (434 nucleotides) under uncultured bacterium. Its description in RNAcentral is "bacterial SSU rRNA". It matches the Rfam family "Bacterial small subunit ribosomal RNA", at positions 44 to 524 of the family's 1533-position model. The record is from RNAcentral.
AGGCCUAACACAUGCAAGUCGAACGAUGCUUUCGGGCAUAGUGGCGCACGGGUGCGUAACGCGUGGGAAUCUGCCCUUAGGUUCGGAAUAACAGUUAGAAAUGACUGCUAAUACCGGAUGAUGACGUAAGUCCAAAGAUUUAUCGCCUAGGGAUGAGCCCGCGUAGGAUUAGCUAGUUGGUCUGGUAAAGGCGCACCAAGGCGACGAUCCUUAGCUGGUCUGAGAGGAUGAUCAGCCACACUGGGACUGAGACACGGCCCAGACUCCUACGGGAGGCAGCAGUGGGGAAUAUUGGACAAUGGGCGCAAGCCUGAUCCAGCAAUGCCGCGUGAGUGAUGAAGGCCUUAGGGUUGUAAAGCUCUUUUACCCGGGAUGAUAAUGACAGUACCGGGAGAAUAAGCCCCGGCUAACUCCGUGCCAGCAGCCGCGGUAAU